UACGGGGGGGGCAAGCGUUGUUCGGAAUUACUGGGCGUAAAGGGUUCGUAGGUGGCCCGCUAAGUCAGACGUGAAAUCCCUCAGCUCAACUGGGGAACUGCGUCUGAGACUGGUGGGCUUGAGUGCAGGAGAGGAACGCGGAAUUCCAGGUGUAGCGGUGAAAUGCGUAGAUAUCUGGAGGAACACCCGUGGCGAAGGCGGCUCUCUGGACCAUAACUGACACUGAGGCACGAAAGCCGGGGGAGCAAACAGG
Molecule: ribosomal RNA, 253 nt
Filed under: uncultured bacterium
Lineage: Bacteria
Description: partial 16S ribosomal RNA
Rfam family: Bacterial small subunit ribosomal RNA
Source: RNAcentral